AGCGGGCGUAGCUUAAUGGUAAAGCCCUAGCCUUCCAAGCUAGUCAUGUGGGUUCGAUUCCCAUCGCCCGCUU
Molecule: transfer RNA, 73 nt
Filed under: Candidatus Scalindua rubra
Lineage: Bacteria; Pseudomonadati; Planctomycetota; Candidatus Brocadiia; Candidatus Brocadiales; Candidatus Scalinduaceae
Description: tRNA-Gly
Rfam family: tRNA
About the family: Transfer RNA (tRNA) molecules are approximately 80 nucleotides in length. Their secondary structure includes four short double-helical elements and three loops (D, anti-codon, and T loops). Further hydrogen bonds mediate the characteristic L-shaped molecular structure. tRNAs have two regions of fundamental functional importance: the anti-codon, which is responsible for specific mRNA codon recognition, and the 3' end, to which the tRNAs corresponding amino acid is attached (by aminoacyl-tRNA synthetases). tRNAs cope with the degeneracy of the genetic code in two manners: having more than one tRNA (with a specific anti-codon) for a particular amino acid; and 'wobble' base-pairing, i.e. permitting non-standard base-pairing at the 3rd anti-codon position.
Source: RNAcentral